RNAcentral lists this long non-coding RNA (603 nucleotides) under Zostera marina. RNAcentral's name for it is "long non-coding RNA (ZMAR_LNC000683)". The record is from RNAcentral. Lineage: Eukaryota; Viridiplantae; Streptophyta; Magnoliopsida; Alismatales; Zosteraceae.
UCAUCUGAAAUCGAGUCUUCUGAAUCAGAAUCCGAAUUAUCUGAUUCUAAUGCAGAUGGUAAGCUGGACUUUUAAGUGGAAGCCAUGUUUGUCAAGUCGAUGCCGGAAGUUUUCAAAGUUUUAUUGAGCCUUUUGAAAUAAGAUUUCAUGGAAUUGAAUCUCUUCUUGUAUUUGGACACGUCUUUCUGACUCGCGUUACACUUGUUCUGAAAAUGAAAACAAAAAUGAGUUCGAUAAUCAACAAAAUUAUUGAAAUAUAUUUAAAAUACCUCCAAUUCCUUAAAUUUUUCCGACCAAACUGCAUCUGGUGCUGCAUCAGUAGUCGUGUUUUCGGAGAUAGACUAUUUUCCUUUCCAAUUUGGAGAAGCCCAUCUUUCGUUUGUUGUGCUCACCAUACUGUCAGCUUCUCCAAUUCCUAAUAUCCUAUUCUUUUUAUUUUUUCCGAAAGUCUUGUUGACCGUCGCUUCGAUAAAUUGUUGUAUUAUAAAAAGUAAAUAAAUAGUAAAUGCGAAAUAUGUAUAAAAGAAGCAAUGGAACUUACAAUUGGAGUCAUUGAUUCAGAUUCAGCCCACGAUUUUGCUUCUUGACUUUUGAUAAAUUCCG